UAAGAGAUAAAGUGAAAAAACAAAUAAUUCAAUAUAAUACAUGUCAAAAUACACUAUACUGAAGUAUACAUUUUUCUAUCUUUGAAAUUAUUUAUUAUAUAGAAAAGGGUCGGAUUGAGAGUCCCUCCUUUUAUACAUAAACUAGAAAAUAGAACCGCGCUUCACGCAGCUUUGAAAAAGAAUUUAGUAUUAUCCUUUUUUCUUACUUUACACUUGAUAAAACUGAUAAAAAAUAUGAAUUGAUUUUUUUUAAGAUCUUAUAAAAAAUAAAAAAAGCUAUUAGCCAGCAAUACAAAUAAAGAAGCAACGCAAGAUAAAAAUAAAAUGAAAGAAUAUAUUAUAGAGUGAUUUUAUUCAUUCCAAUUGUGUGUGUAUAAAACAAAAAGAUGAGCUCUCCUUUUAUAGUUACAUAAUCACUCCAUGAAAUUAAUGAAAAAUUAUGGAUCAUAAUUCCUUGUGAGAUAGUGUGAGUUAUAGGGAAGCUAAAGGUUGCUAAUGGGAGAUAGUGGGGAGACUAAGAGAUAUAUGUUAUGAACAUCUACAUUUAUUUUAGUAAAUUCAUAAUAUUCUCCCUUGGAUGUUCAUUACAAAGAAUGUGCCUCAUUAAAAUCUUUACAUAAUUGUUAUUGUGUAAUAACAAUCAAAUUAAUUAUGAGAAGAUGAAAAGCCAAAUCUAAAAGAAAAUUUCUCUAUUUAUUAGAUAAUAGAGAAUAUAAAAAUAUGAGAAAUAGUGAUGCCACAUCACUUCCUCAAGUCCCAGCUUUAUAUAUAUACUAGAAAAUAGAACCGCGCUUCACGCGGCUUUGAAAAAAGAAUUUAAUAUUAUCCUUUUUUCUUAUUUUACACUUGAUGAAACUGAAAAAAAAUAUGAAUUAUUUUUUUUAAAGAUGAGGCAACCUUAUAAAAAACAAAAAAAAAGAUAUUAGCCAGCAAUACAAAUAAAGAAACAACGCAAGAUAAAAAAUAAAAUGAGAGAAUAUAUUAUAGAGUGAUUUUAUUCAUUCCAAUUGUGUGUGUAUAAAACAAAAAGAUGAGCUCUCCUUUUAUAGUUACAUAAUCACUCCAUGAUAUUAAUGAAAAAUUAUGGAUCAUAAUUCCUUGUGAAAUAGUAGGAGUUAUAGAGAAGCUAAAGGUUACUAAUGGGAGAUAGUGUAGAGACUAAGAGAUAUAUGUUAUGAAUAUCAACAUUUAUUUUAAUAAAUGUAUAACACUCCCCCUUGGAUGUUUAUUACAAAGAACAUGCCUCAUGAAAACGUUUACAUAAUUGUUAUUGUAUAAUAACAAUUAAAUUAAUUAUAAGAAGAUGAAACGUCAAAUCUAAAAAAAAAUUUCUCUAUUUAUUAGAUAAUAGAAAAUAUAAAAAGAUGAGAAAUAGUGAUGACACAUCACCUCUUGUAGUCCCAACUUUAUAUAUAUUUAUAUAGAAGCUAUUAGCCAGCAACAAAAAUAAAGAAGAAACGCAAGAUAAAGAAUAAAAUGAGAGAAUAUAUUAUAGAGUGAUUUUAUUCAUUCCAAUUGUGUGUGUACAAAACAAAAAGAUGAGCUCUCCUUUUAUAGUUACAUAAUCACUCCAUGAAAUUAAUGAAAAAUUAUGGAUCAUAAUUUCUUGUGAGAUAGUGGGAGUUAUAGGGAAGCUAAAUGUUGCUAAUGGGAGAUAGUGUGGAGACUAAGAGAUAUAUGUUAUGAACAUCCACAUUUAUUUUAAUAAAUGUAUAACACUGCCCAUUGGAUGCUCAUUACAAAGAAUGUGCCUCAUUAAAACGUUUACAUAAUUGUUAUUGUGUAAUAACAAUUAAAUUAAUUAUAAGAAGAUGAAACGUCAAAUUUAAAAGAAAAUUUCUCUAUUUAUUAGAUAAUAGAAAAUAUAAAAAGAUGAGAAAUAGUGAUGACACAUCACCUCUUGUAGUCCCAACUUUAUAUAUAUAUAUAUAUAUAUAUAUAUAUAAGCUAUUAGCUAGCAACAAAAAUAAAGAAGAAACGCAAGAUAAAGAAUAAAAUGAGAGAAUAUAUUAUAGAGUGAUUUUAUUCAUUCCAAUUGUGUGUGUACAAAACAAAAAGAUGAGCUCUCCUUUUAUAGUUACAUAAUCACUCCAUGAAAUUAAUGAAAAAUUAUGGAUCAUAAUUCCUUGUAAGAUAGUGGGAGUUAUAGGGAAGCUAAAUGUUGCUAAUGGGAGUAGUGUGGAGACUAAGAGAUAUAUGUUAUGAACAUCCACAUUUAUUUUAAUAAAUGUAUAACACUGUCCAUUGGAUGCUCAUUACAAAGAAUGUGCCUCAUUAAAACGUUUAUAUAAUUGUUAUUGUGUAAUAACAAUUAAAUUAAUUAUAAGAAGAUGAAACGUCAAAUCUAAAAGAAAAUUUCUCUAUUUAUUAGAUAAUAGAAAAUAUAAAAAGAUGAGAAAUAGUGAUGACACAUCACCUCUUGUAGUCCCAACUUUAUAUAUAUAUAUAUAUAUAUAUAAGCUAUUAGCUAGCAACAAAAAUAAAGAAGAAACGCAAGAUAAAGAAUAAAAUGAGAGAAUAUAUUAUAGAGUGAUUUUAUUCAUUCCAAUUGUGUGUGUACAAAACAAAAAGAUGAGCUCUCCUUUUAUAGUUACAUAAUCACUCCAUGAAAUUAAUGAAAAAUUAUGGAUCAUAAUUCCUUGUAAGAUAGUGGGAGUUAUAGGGAAGCUAAAUGUUGCUAAUGGGAGAUAGUGUGGAGACUAAGAGAUAUAUAUUAUGAACAUCCACAUUUAUUUUAAUAAAUGUAUAACACUGCCCAUUGGAUGCUCAUUACAAAGAAUGUGCCUCAUUAAAACGUUUACAUAAUUGUUAUUGUGUAAUAACAAUUAAAUUAAUUAUAAGAAGAUGAAACGUCAAAUCUAAAAGAAAAUUUCUCUAUUUAUUAGAUAAUAGA
RNAcentral lists this long non-coding RNA (2893 nucleotides) under Citrus x clementina. Its description in RNAcentral is "Citrus clementina (C. clementina) long non-coding RNA (CCLE_LNC006586)". The record is from RNAcentral. Lineage: Eukaryota; Viridiplantae; Streptophyta; Magnoliopsida; Sapindales; Rutaceae.